UACGUAGGGUGCGAGCGUUGUCCGGAUUUAUUGGGCGUAAAGAGCUCGUAGGCGGCUUGUUGCGUCGACUGUGAAAUCCCGCGGCUUAACUGCGGGCUUGCAGUUGAUACGGGCAGGCUGGAGUUCGGUAGGGGAGACUGGAAUUCCUGGUGUAGCGGUGAAAUGCGCAGAUAUCAGGAGGAACACCGGUGGCGAAGGCGGGUCUCUGGGCCGAUACUGACGCUGAGGAGCGAAAGCCAGGGGAGCAAACGGG
RNAcentral lists this ribosomal RNA (253 nucleotides) under uncultured bacterium. RNAcentral describes it as "partial 16S ribosomal RNA". It matches the Rfam family "Bacterial small subunit ribosomal RNA", at positions 524 to 776 of the family's 1533-position model. The record is from RNAcentral.